UACGUAGGGUGCAAGCGUUAAUCGGAAUUACUGGGCGUAAAGUGUGCGCAGGCGGCAGAGCAAGUCGAGUGUGAAAGCCCCGAGCUUAACUUGGGAAUUGCGCUCGAAACUACUUUGCUGGAGUGUGGCAGAGGAAGGUGGAAUUCCAGGUGUAGCGGUGAAAUGCGUAGAGAUCUGGAGGAACACCGAUGGCGAAGGCAGCCUUCUGGGCCAACACUGACGCUCGUGCACGAAAGCGUGGGGAGCAAACAGG
RNAcentral lists this ribosomal RNA (253 nucleotides) under uncultured bacterium. Its description in RNAcentral is "partial 16S ribosomal RNA". It matches the Rfam family "Bacterial small subunit ribosomal RNA", at positions 524 to 776 of the family's 1533-position model. The record is from RNAcentral.